This 2937-nucleotide unclassified non-coding RNA is filed under the name Leishmania donovani. RNAcentral describes it as "gene:LdHU3.32.3770(CDS-product:CS_domain/TPR_repe at/Tetratricopeptide_repeat_putative)". The record is from RNAcentral. Lineage: Eukaryota; Euglenozoa; Kinetoplastea; Trypanosomatida; Trypanosomatidae.
UGCGUCUCCCUCCCUCUCUUCGGAGACGAUAAAGUGCCACACACACACACACACACGAGACCGAUUCCACCCUUCCCCUCCCUCGCGUCCCCUUGUGGCUGGCAGAUAAGAAGGAUACACACGUCAAUACUGGUGUAAGCACUCGUGUCAGCUCCUUCCCCUCCCUCUACAUCCCACGUAGACAAGAAUGCCGGUGAAGCCACAGUUCACAUGGGAGCAAACGGGCGAGGACGUGCUCCUGCACAUCACCAUCAAAGGCUGCAAGAAGGACGCGGUCGAUGUUCUGAUUGCCGACGUUUUCGUGAAGGUCAAUGCACCGCCACAGUACUUGCUGGCGCUCGACCUGCUGCACGCAAUUGAUUCAUCCAAGUCGUCACAGUACUUCACCGACGCGCAGGAUGGCAUCAUUCUGCACGUCAAACUGCACAAGGCGGAGGUGGGCCGUGUGUGGGACGCUCUUAGCGUGCGUCAGUCCUCCGUCGGCAAACAGGCAUUGCUGCAGCGGCGACAAGAGUCGAUGCAAAGAGCGGAGCAGCAGUACCGGGCACAGCUGGAUGCACGCGUGACACAGCGUGAGAUGGAGAAGCGUCGUAUGCUGGAGGCCCAGUGGGAGGUUGAGAAGGUGCAGCGCGCGCAGAUCGAGCAGCGUGUGAAGGAGGAGAAGGACGCCGCGGAGACGGAGCUGUACGCGUGGGAGGACAGCCACACGACUCCAGCGGCGGACACAGCCUCCGCUUCACCGCUACCACUCGCUAACACCAAACUCGCGAGCCCUCCACCGCAUUCGGCGGAGAUCGCCGCUGCUGCUACUGCUGCCGCCACCGCGGCAUCAUCACCGCUGCCGGCGACGGCUGAGGUUGCUCCGUCUGUGACGCCGACAUUGUCCUCGUCGGUCGCCACGCCGCCGGCGAUUCGGCAGGUGGACACCGUCAACGUCACCAUUGACUUUACACCGAAGACCUUUGCGAUGCCGACUCGCUCGCACGGGGAUGAGGAGUACUACCGGCAGAGUCGCUACAAGCCGGUCUCGAUUGAGGACACGCCGAUGUUCUGGAAGGAGCGGGCAGACAAGUGCUACCGCACGCAGCAGUGGAAGGCGGCGGCGAACGCCUACUCAGAGUCUAUCAAGCGCGACGGCGCCUUCUUGACUUGCGUCAUGAAUCGGUCCGCGUGCUACCUGCAGAUGGCAGACUACAAGAGGGCAAUCGAGGACUGCUCGCUGGCGCUGACCAUGCUGGCCAAUACACCGGCGAGCGAGGUGACACAGGAGCGGUACCGAGGGCUCAUGACGAAGCUCCACGCCCGCCGCGGCGCCGCCUACUGCUGGGCAGAUGACCUCAAGAGCGGCGUGGCGGACCUGCGCAUGGCGGCUGCCUAUCGAGACCCGACAAGCGACGACGACGUAGCGGCCGACUUGGCAAUGAUCGAGGCUCAGAUGAAGGAGCGCGGCAUCACUGAGGUCGACGCGCGCGCCGACCCUCUCUCCACCCGCAUGCAGGAGGCGGCGGCGCAGUAUUACCAGGGUUCGUACGAGGCUGCCGAGGCCACCUACAACACCAUCCUCAAGGAACAGCCCUUUCACAUGAAGGCACAGGGAAACCUCGCUGCUGUGCUGCUGCGCGCGGGCAAGUUCACACAGGCCCUUCAGGUUUGCGAUGGCAUCCUGCAGUUCUGUAGCGAAGUGGCUGCUGCGCUGGAGCAGCCUGGUGGCCUCGCGGGCGACCAGCUCGACAGCGACGAUGAGGAGGACGAGGACGAGGACGAGCCUGGCUGGGCAGCAUCGAAGACAGCGAGUGCGCUGGAAGAGGUGGAGGGGGCAAGCAACAAGGACGCCCUUGUUCGCCAGCGCCGCGCAGCGGCAAAGAAGCUGGGCGAGCAGAGCGGCCACGUGUACAUGCUGCUGAAGGCUUACGUGCGCAGCGCAGCCGCUCUGUGCGGAAUGAAGGAGUACCACAAAGCGCAUGGCUGCCUAGAGCGCGCGCUGCGCAUUACGCCGUACGACAACGACUUGCGCGACGACUGCAACCGAUUGGCUGAGAAGAUUCGGAUGGACACGCUCAUCGCCGCGUCUGCCGGCUCGGCACGAGCUCAGAAGGCUGCUGCGUAAGGGCACGAGGGCACUGCUACUCCUCUUUUUAUGUAUGUGUGUGUGUGUGUGUGUGCGUGUGCCUGCCACCCCUCUUUGCGGCGCUGAGCGGCACCGGCAUUGCAGCUUCAGUCUCCUUCUCGAAGACUAACACACGCCCGCACGCACCAUUUUCUUUCACGCGCCAUAGGCUGCGCGGAGGUGUUUGCCCACCAUCUUCGGAGUGUGGCUCCGUUUGUGGACGCCCGCUUGCGCCUUCACAUCUGUCUCUGUUUUGUUCCACUUCUGUGCGCUUCUUCGCUCCUUUCUUUGGUUGUUCGUCCUCUUCUCUUUCGUGUUCCCUUGUGAUGUAUGGCACGUGCGUGUGAUGGACGGAGGGCCGACCACGAGAGAGGAAAGCGAGCUGGAGUGUGAGAUGAAGCGUUGCGGCUCCUGGUGACAGCCACAGUGCCGCGUAUUUUAGCCACGGUAAAGUUGUCUCGCUCUCGCUCGCUCGCUCUCCAUGGAAUCGACGAUGGCCGUGUUGUUGUUGCACUGACUGCCUUAUUCGUUCCUCGGAUCCGCUGCUUUUUUUUUCGUGUGUCUGUUCGUGGAUAAUGCGCUGGUGUCUCAAGUGUGUGCGACAUAGAGCAGCAGGGUGGAGUGGCAGUCACAGCGACUACGGUCGGUGGCGAGUAUGCGUGGGAAGGUGGCCAUGGCGGUUCUCACAGACGCGGUGGCCACCUGCCCUCCUCGCCGCUCCGCCGCCCUUCCCCUUUCGCGAGAUGUGCCGGUGCCGAGACUGCACCGGAACAGACAGACGCACAAUAUUGCACCAGCUGAGGUAGCGAAGGAGUCGAUCGAACAGCGAG